This 370-nucleotide transfer-messenger RNA is filed under the name Dermabacteraceae. RNAcentral's name for it is "Brachybacterium sp014400405 Standard tmRNA". It matches the Rfam family "transfer-messenger RNA". From Rfam's summary of the family: Bacterial tmRNA, also known as 10Sa RNA or SsrA, is named for its dual tRNA and mRNA-like properties. Its role is to liberate the mRNA from a stalled ribosome. To accomplish this part of the tmRNA is used as a reading frame that ends in a translation stop signal. The record is from RNAcentral. RNAcentral also lists the same sequence under 1 other name. Lineage: Bacteria; Bacillati; Actinomycetota; Actinomycetes; Micrococcales.
GGGGCCGAUCGGUUUCGACGGUAGUUGUCCAGCAAGGGAAGCGGGCCGAGAAGCCAGAGUCAUCUCGUAAACGUUCUCUGGAAACCAAUAAGUGCCGAACCUAAGCGCACUGACUUCGCUCUCGCUGCCUGAUCAGCGCUAGCAGUCUGGAACCCCGGGCGUGCUUCUGACCCGGAUCGUUCCAUCAUCUAAGAAGCCACUGCUGCCGACCCUCGUCAUCGGGGAAGGAUGAACACCUCAGAGUGACUGAGUCUGUCGACGACGUGUCCGUGCGAUCGUCGGGACUGAGAAAACGUCAAUACGGACUGCGCCCGGAGAAGCCCUGGCUCCGCACUAUCGGACGCGGGUUCGAUUCCCGCCGGCUCCACCA